Molecule: long non-coding RNA, 4470 nt
Organism: Schistocerca gregaria
Lineage: Eukaryota; Metazoa; Arthropoda; Insecta; Orthoptera; Acrididae
Exons: 3
Source: RefSeq, a predicted model, not a curated record
AAACUUUGUUUAUUCCCCACACUGAACAAGUUCCUGCAGACACUAUCUUUAAUUUCCACGAAUUGCUUCCACUGGUAUUAACUAAACUAUGCAUAAAUAAGCUGAACUCAAGAACAGCACAGCAAAUCAAACAAAAUAGUACAGGGUGAGGUUAAUACGAAUAUUACAAACAAAUAAACCUCAAACUGUUACACCUGAAUUGAAUCUCUCUCAACAAUAGUAAGGGCAAAGACAUUCGUGGGUGCUGUUGAUUUCAUUAGGGGGUAACAAUGAACAAACGGUAAACAUCACCACCAAGAAAAGGUUCAAAGUAACAAUUAAUUCUUCCAGUACUCAGACCUCUUUUUCCCAAUUUCAAAUUCACACUUUGGAGAUUGGGACACAAGAACAGCCUGUAGAAAAGUAGUCAGAACUGUUUGGAUUUAGAAUUGGCUAUCAGCAGCAAUUAUAUUGUGACUCCCAUGACCUGAAUCCUGAAAUGAUCAACAUAAGAUGACAUAAUUUUCAUUACUGUACUGAUUUUAUCAUGUAUCUCAAAAUGCGUACUGGCUGUAGGCAUAUACAGUGAUGUGCAUUUCCUAUUUUUUUUUUUUUUAUAUUUUACAAUAAUACAAUUCAGUCUAAGGUUUCUGGUGUACUGUGUUUUAAUAUUAAUUACAUAGAUUUUUUUGAUUUUUUCAGAAAGAGACAUGAAGCUGCCAUUUUCAAUAAGAGGAAACUUUUAAUGCAUGAUUAAUUAAAAUGUGAAUGAAUUAUCAUUGAAGUAAAAUUAAAUGAUACUGUAUUAGAUAGAUCAGAUACUAAUAUUGUAAAUAAGAAGUAGCAAAGGGAAUGCAAGAGGGUUUACUGGGUAAACCAUAAAGCAAAUGAUGAUUACUGUGGGAUACAAGUAAUGUACAACUGAACCUGAAUGUGUCAACAAACAUUGAUAGUUCUUGUGACAAUAGUAUAAAAUUUCCACACUCACAUCCAUUCAUUCACUAUGUUCUAUAGACACCAUCAAAUCAAGUUUCAAAGGAAUGAAUAAAGUUCUACACCAGUAAAGUUACAUUGCUUCCAGAAAAUAAGUGUGUGUGUGUGUGUGUGUGUGUGUGUGUGUGUGUGUGUGUGUGUGUGUGUUUUACAAUAAUAUUACUGCUGUUUAAAUAUUCACAUCAUCUCAGCUGAAGGCACAAAGUAGGUAACCUUGACAGAAGAGUACUUCUUUGGCACCAUUUCUCAUUGUACAGUGCACGGAAGACUCUUAAUGGGCUAUGCAUUAAACUGCUAUACAUGAGGCAGCAUUAGAGCAUCUAAGGAAACUAUUCCUUCAGAAGAAAUGGCAGUCAUCAGACUGCAACAUAUGUAACAUUUUAUACAAUUGUGUUCGUUUCUGUAGUUCAAGAUGUCGCAUUAGUGCUUCAUAAAUGUAUGCAUGCAUGCAUGCAUAUUACCAUCAGUAACAGCAAAUCACUUUAUUCACACCAUAUGUUACAUAUAUUUAUGUUCAUGUCUUGAUUAAAUGCCAAAAUCUAUAAUGUUUCCAAUAAUUAUUGUCAGAGUUCUUCAGCUUUAAUGUAGCAUUAGUGAAUAUAUAUUUGGUAAUUCAGUGAUUAAAAAAAAGCCUCAUAAAACACUUCUCUUUCAAAAAUAAAACAAAGGGUUCUGAACCCUUGUUGCCAUCUCUUGAAAUUGACUAUUACUAGCAAAUAAUUUGAAACAGCGCCCAAUAUGGAUUCUGUUUAAAAUACACCAAUUAGCAACAACAUACCUUAUUACAAAUGUUGAUUUAUCACUGAACUGUCUUAUGGUGUCUUAAGAUGUUUCUGUUGUGUGUAAAAAUGAAGUACAUAUAAUAUGAAAAUAAAUCACUAUUUAUUGCGUUCAAUGUAUUCUCUACAACAGUAGAACAAAAACAGAUGCAGUGACUCCAAUAAAAAUAAACAUUAUGAAAUCUUAACAAGAUUUAUAAAAUAUUAGAAACAUCAUCUAUGUGUCUCUAUUGUUUUAAAUUCACAAGAGAAUCUCCAAAAUUACUACUACUAGUUACCACUAAUUAUGGCAAGAAAAUUUUUGACUCAGUUUAUAUUGAAAAUGGCAUAAAUAUGUCUCUCAAUCCAGAUCUAAGUUAGCAACAAGAAAAUAUUUUCAAAAAUGUACAGUUCCUCACACAUUUUGACCAACAAAAUAUACCAAAACUACUUAAGAUUUCUUGCUUUUGCAAACAAUCACAAAGCAAUUCAGAUAAUGAAUCACAGCAAAACUAUCACAGUCAUUAGGUUGAAAAAGAAGAAUAUUGAAAACAACAUACAUAACAGAGUAAACAAUCUGAGAGAUUCCAUAACAUCAGAAUAAUUUUUUUUUUUCAAGAAACCCAAGUAACUUAGCAGUUACAUCAUUAAUGCAAUUAGUCAUACUAGUUCACCUUACACAAUUUAUAGAGAAGCAGAAUCGCUAUCUGAAGGUGCAAAAUACAUCUCACUGAAAUAUGGGCUAAACUGAAAGUUACAGAAGCUUUGAAAUUGAUAAACCGUAGUACAAAGCCUUCUUUAAAAAAAAAAAAUGCUGCUUUCCACGUGUAAAAAAUAACAGGCAGUUAGGCUCAUAAAACAUCUAUUGUUUACAAACUUCAUUCCAAUUUUAACGAGAGAUUUCUUCUAUGCCAUGAUAUCAAACAGGCAAAGGUUCGACUACAUUUUAUACGUGAAUAUGUCAUGUUGUAUAAAAUACUGGUACUAAAUAUCUAUUUCUGAUAUCCACAUUCACCGGUAGAUACAGGUACAUGGCAGUGGAUUGCGAAUCUUCGGCGAUGUUCCACGUUAUAAGCAUUUGAUACUUUUUAUUGAGAACCGAGUUCCUUAUCACAAUAAAUACCUGAUUCUGAAUUCUUAAGUUCACUUGAGCAAACGCUUGAGUCACUCUACUAGAACUAGUAGGGGAAUGAAAUUUGGAAAUUUAGGGGAAUGAAAUUUGGAAAUAACACUUCAACAAGCGUGCAGUACUCUACUGCAUGGAGAUUAUAAGUUUGACGGCCCGCGGUUGUUACAAAUACCCCAAGUAGCAAAGUAAUACAAUUGCUACUUCGUAAAAAUGGGAAUUUCACCGUUUCAAAUAAGUUCUUCCCACAAAUUUGGAAGAAUUAGCAGAUGUCUGUCAUACGUAAGUUAUCUUCCCGUCCACAUAAUUAGUGAAACUGCUAUGCUUAUGGUAAACGAAACGUCAAAAGUGAUACAAACAUAAGAUAUCUUACCAAACCGUUAAAAGCAAUAAAACCGCUUAUUAAACUAAAAUAAAUAUUUCAUGAUACAUCUAAAUCCAUGUUUUGUGUGUGGAAUUACAGCGUAGCUUCUGAAGACUACAUGAGAAGUAUCACUGGCUCUGUAUAGUUAAAAUUACUUUCUACAGCAUCAAAGAAUUCUACAUUGCAUAUACUACGGUACAUUCUCAGCUCUGCUGCGGAACUUCACUAUUUUUAUUUUUAAGACUUAGUUGAUAGUUAACAGCCCGUGACAGUGAAUACAAACCAGUGGCUGCAACAAAUACAUUCACACUAAAAAGGCUCCAGUUCUUCGGUAUGAUUACUAAAGAAUACCGAGACCAUAUUAAUCCCGUGGCUGUUAGAGCUCCAGACUGUGAAAUACUUAUUUUAUCCGCUGGUCUCUUCAGGUCUCCAAGGCCAGCAAUGACAAGCCCCCAUUUGAAGACGGGGGACCAAAAAAAAAUUGUCUUGGGUCCAGCAGGAUGAUUCCAAAGUGGCUGAAGACUGGGUGGAACAAACUUGUCGGCAAAUGCAAUGGUUUUUCUGUAUAUCACAGACAUACUUCACAUCACCUUCGUCUCUCACAGCAGAACAGCCUACAAACCUUCGCCACACAACUACACUAGCGCGACCUUCGCGCUGUGAGGUAACAUGUGAAUAGCGCCUGGCGUUCGCAAAUGCCUACAAGGUCACGUGACGUUGCUUAACGCGGAACAGCUGAUUCGCGUGAUCAUCGCCAUUUUGGAAUGUGUUGUAGAACAGGAAAUUAAUUGCAAUUUGACGCGGAACGUUUAUGCAGCACAGUAUCAAAAAUAUAAAACCUUCAGAGAAGUUUCACUGAUCACAUUUUGGUGUCUUUGAUAUGGGACUGAAAAAGAAGUUUGGCAUCAUUGGUACAAUAUUCGUUGUACUUACCGUCUUCAUUUUUAAGGUGAUGUAAUUUUGAUGCAGAAUUGAACCUGAAAGCUUGAUAAAAUGUGGUCGCCACGGGAGAAAGCGCAGUCUGUGGGUUGGUUCAUACUGAUGACAUCCAAUGCCCAGUAUGCAAGCCAGCUGCCAUCCUGGCCGAAAUUACUUCAUUGUGGGAACUCACUGUAUGCCAAUAAUGGUAUUUCCACAUUCAAAGCACCCAAAAUGUUUAACUUAUGGAAUAAAAAUUAAUGUAUGUCUUUGUUAUAUCAUGUAAUCACAGUUGAAACAUUAAAAUUGCUUUUUCUUGAGUUCCAUAAAAA